GACGAACGCUGGCGGCGUGCUUAACACAUGCAAGUCGAACGGAAAGGCCCUGCUUUUGCGGGGUGCUCGUGUGGCGAACGGGUGAGUAACACGUGUGUAACCUGCCCUUGACUUUGGGAUAACUUCAGGAAACUGGGGCUAAUACCGGAUAGGAGCUCCUGCUGCAUGGUGGGGGUUGGAAAGAUUCGGCGGUUGGGGAUGGACUCGCGGCUUAUCAGCUUGUUGGUGGGGUAGUGGCUUACCAAGGGUUUGACGGGUAGCCGGCCUGAGAGGGUGACCGGGCACAUUGGGACUGAGAGACGGCGCAGACUCGUACGGGAGGCAGCAGUGGGGAAUAUGGCACAAUGGGCGGAAGCCUGAGGCAGCAACGCCGCGUGCGGGAUGACGGCCUUCGGGUUGUAAACCGCUUUCGCCGGUGACGAAGCGUGAGUGACGGUAAUGGGUAAAGAAGCACCGGCUAACUACGUG
RNAcentral lists this ribosomal RNA (468 nucleotides) under uncultured bacterium. RNAcentral's name for it is "partial 16S ribosomal RNA". It matches the Rfam family "Bacterial small subunit ribosomal RNA", at positions 28 to 507 of the family's 1533-position model. The record is from RNAcentral.